ACAGGUAUAGCUCAAGAGGUAGAGCACAUGCUUAGUGUGCUUGAGGUCCUGGGUUCAAUCCCCAGUACCUCCU
RNAcentral lists this transfer RNA (73 nucleotides) under Camelus bactrianus (Bactrian camel). It matches the Rfam family "tRNA". Rfam says of the family: Transfer RNA (tRNA) molecules are approximately 80 nucleotides in length. RNAcentral also lists the same sequence under 2 other names. Lineage: Eukaryota; Metazoa; Chordata; Mammalia; Artiodactyla; Camelidae. The record is from Rfam by way of RNAcentral.